AAGUCGUACAAGGUUUCCGUAGGUGAACCUGCGGAAGGAUCAUUAACACGUAUCCAACGUAAAAAACCCCCCUGUGAACAUUCAAACCUGCUCUCGUAGCCCAGUGCGAUCCAGCAAUCCCGGUAAAUCAUUGUCGAACAGUAUUGAUUCGGGACUUCUGACAAAUGAGAAGUUACAGUUACGAUUGAGCGGAGAUGCAGUCAGUGUCUGAAAGUUUCAUUGAUUGUCUAAGGAUCUCACCUCAACGAUUGCCAGAGGUCGCUCACCGACCGGCAGACAUGCAACCGGGUCCCCCUUUACAACUCCAUUACCUCUGUGAGUCGCGGGAAACUAGCGGCUAAAAACCUCGAACAACUGUUAACAAUGGAUAUCUUGGUUCUC
RNAcentral lists this unclassified non-coding RNA (381 nucleotides) under fungal sp. RNAcentral describes it as "partial internal transcribed spacer region". The stretch from base 1 to 45 matches the Rfam family "Eukaryotic small subunit ribosomal RNA", at positions 1786 to 1831 of the family's 1831-position model. Lineage: Eukaryota; Fungi. The record is from RNAcentral.